AUGGUUGUCGAUGCCCUCGCAGGCAUUCUUGAUAAGGCCAAAACUUGUGGCCAUCUCCGCGGCGUUGUCCCCCACCUUGUGGGUGGGGGAGGGGUCUCCCUCCUCCAAUAUGUGGAUGACACCAUAGUUAUGGUGGAGGGCUCCGCGUCCGACAUCACCAACCUAAAGUUCCUCUUGUGUUUCCAACAGAUGUCUGGGCUCACCAUUAACUUCGAUAAGAGCAAAGUGAUGGUCCUUGGCUACCCUCCGGAGGAGGCGUUGUCCAUUGCGGACCGGCUGAACUGCCACUUGGGUUCCUUCCCCAUGACCUACCUGGGGAUACCCAUUAGUGACUCCAGGCUCACCGUGGCUGAUCUCCGCCCGACGGUGACUAGGAUGCAGCACCGGGUUGAACCUUGGCGGGGACGUUGGCUGUCGAAAGAGGCCAGGAUGAUUCUAAUCAACUCCUCGCUUGCUAGGCUUCUCUGGUUUCUCAUGAGCUUCUACAGCCUCCAUGAGACCCUCCAUCAGGAGGUCGCUAAAUACUAGUCGAGGUUCUAUUGGGCGGGCGAGGGAGACAAG
RNAcentral lists this ribosomal RNA (561 nucleotides) under Triticum aestivum (bread wheat). Its description in RNAcentral is "partial small subunit ribosomal RNA". Lineage: Eukaryota; Viridiplantae; Streptophyta; Magnoliopsida; Poales; Poaceae. The record is from RNAcentral.